AGGGAAUCUUGCGCAAUGGGCGAAAGCCUGACGCAGCAACGCCGCGUGCGGGAUGAAGGCCUUCGGGUUGUAAACCGCUUUCAGCAGGGACGAAAAUGACGGUACCUGCAGAAGAAGCCCCGGCCAACUACGUGCCAGCAGCCGCGGUAACACGUAGGGGGCGAGCGUUGUCCGGAUUUAUUGGGCGUAAAGAGCUCGUAGGCGGUUUCGUAAGUCGGGUGUGAAAACUCUAGGCUCAACCUGGAGACGCCACCCGAUACUGCGAUGACUAGAGUCCGGUAGGGGAGCGUGGAAUUCCUGGUGUAGCGGUGAAAUGCGCAGAUAUCAGGAGGAACACCAACGGCGAAGGCAGCGCUCUGGGCCGGAACUGACGCUGAGGAGCGAAAGCGUGGGGAGCGAAC
Molecule: ribosomal RNA, 401 nt
Filed under: uncultured bacterium
Lineage: Bacteria
Description: bacterial SSU rRNA
Rfam family: Bacterial small subunit ribosomal RNA
Source: RNAcentral